Molecule: transfer RNA, 85 nt
Filed under: Methanospirillum sp.
Lineage: Archaea; Methanobacteriati; Methanobacteriota; Methanomicrobia; Methanomicrobiales; Methanospirillaceae
Description: tRNA-Leu
Rfam family: tRNA
About the family: Transfer RNA (tRNA) molecules are approximately 80 nucleotides in length.
Source: RNAcentral
GCGAAGGUAUCCAAGUUCGGCCAACGGAGACGGACUUAAGAUCCGUUCCUGAAGAGGUUCGCCGGUUCGAAUCCGGCCCUUCGCA